RNAcentral lists this non-coding RNA (47 nucleotides) under Trichobilharzia regenti. The record is from RNAcentral. Lineage: Eukaryota; Metazoa; Platyhelminthes; Trematoda; Strigeidida; Schistosomatidae.
ACUAGCUGACGAGUCCCAAACAGGAUGAUGAAAUGCGCAUCCUGGAU